RNAcentral lists this unclassified non-coding RNA (1655 nucleotides) under Phocine morbillivirus. RNAcentral describes it as "P/V/C". The record is from RNAcentral. Lineage: Riboviria; Orthornavirae; Negarnaviricota; Monjiviricetes; Mononegavirales; Paramyxoviridae.
AGGACCCAGGUCCAACAAACCAGAUCAAUCAUUCCUCUGAUUGUUCAACCUAUUUCCCAAUGGCAGAAGAGCAGGCCUAUCAUGUCAGUAAAGGGCUGGAGUGCAUCAAGGCCCUCAGAGAAAAUCCUCCUAACAUGGAAGAGAUUCAAGAGGUCAGCAACAUCAGGGAUCAAACCUACAAGUCAAGCAAAGAAAGCGGAACCACAGGUGUGCAAGAGGAAGAAAUCACUCAGAAUAUCGAUGAAUCACACACGCCAACAAAGAGAUCAAACAGUGUCAGCGAUGUACUCCAAGAAGAUCAGAGAGGUAGAGAGGACAAUACUGCACCUGUGGAGGCAAAAGACCGUAUUGAAGAGGAUACCCAAACAGGACCUGCAGUACGACGUUAUUAUGUUUAUGAUCACUGCGGUGAAAAGGUUAAGGGAAUCGAAGAUGCUGACAGUCUCAUGGUACCAGCAGGCCCUCCAAGUAAUAGGGGAUUCGAAGGAAGAGAGGGAAGCCUUGAUGAUAGCAUUGAAGAUUCUAGCGAAGAUUAUUCCGAAGGAAAUGCUUCAUCUAACUGGGGAUAUACUUUUGGCCUUAACCCAGACAGAGCAGCUGAUGUGAGCAUGCUAAUGGAGGAAGAGUUGACUGCUCUGCUUGGCACAGGCCACAAUGCCGGGGGCCAAAAGAGGGACGGGAGAACUCUACAGUUUCCGAAUAGUCCCGAAGGGAGUAUAGGGAACCAAGCAUGCGAACCCAUUAAAAAGGGCACAGGAGAGAAGUUAGCCUCACAUGGAAUGAUGACCGCUGCUGGAUUGACAAAUGGUGCAACCCGAUCUGCACCCAAGUCAACUGGGGGGUCAUCAGGGCCAAAUGCAUCUGCGGGGAGUGUCCCCCAGUCUGUGACGACUGCAAAGAUGAUCCAGAAAUGCAAAACCGAAUCUGGUACGAGACCCCAACCCGAGAAACCAAAUGAGAUCGAGUCAGAUGGUGAAUAUGAUGAUGAGCUUUUUUCUGAGAUACAAGAAAUCCGAUCUGCUAUCACCAAAUUAACUGAGGAUAAUCAAUCAAUACUUAGCAAAUUAGAUACUUUAUUGCUGCUUAAGGGAGAGAUUGACUCGAUCAAAAAACAAAUUAGUAAACAGAACAUUGCUAUCUCGACAAUUGAGGGACACUUAUCGAGUAUCAUGAUUGCGAUACCUGGUUUUGGAAAGGAUACCGGAGAUCCCACUGCAAAUGUUGACAUUAAUCCUGACGUCCGCCCCAUCAUAGGGAGGGAUUCUGGAAGGGCUCUUGCUGAGGUCCUAAAGAAGCCGGCAUCUUCUCGUGGUAAUCAAAAGGACGGUGGUCUCAUCCUGGGUUCAAAGGGUCAAUUGUUAAAGGACCUCCAAUUGAAGCCUAUUGAUAAAAAUUCCAGCUCAGCAAUUGGAUUCAAACCUAAAGAUUCUGCUCCGUCAAAAGCCGUGAUUGCAUCCUUGAUCAGAUCAAGCAAGGUUGACCAAAGCCACAAACAAAACAUGCUCUCCCUACUCAAGAACAUUAAGGGGGAUGACAAUCUAAAUGAAUUCUACCAGAUGAUCAAGAGCAUCUCCCACAUCUAACCUGCUACACCAAUGCCUUUGUUAGUAAUCAGGAUACUGCAUUAACCCUGGCUUAUAAGCAAUUACAAAAAA